Molecule: ribosomal RNA, 254 nt
Filed under: uncultured bacterium
Lineage: Bacteria
Description: partial 16S ribosomal RNA
Rfam family: Bacterial small subunit ribosomal RNA
Source: RNAcentral
UACGUAGGGUGCAAGCGUUGUCCGGAAUUAUUGGGCGUAAAGAGUGUGUAGGCGGUGCUCUAAGUCCGCUGUGAAAGUCGGGGGCUCAACCCUCGGAUGCCGGUGGAUACUGUCGGGCUUGAGUACGGAAGAGGCGAGUGGAAUUCCUGGUGUAGCGGUGAAAUGCGCAGAUAUCGAGAGGAACACCUGAGGUGAAGACGGGUUGCUGGGCCGACACUGACGCUGAGUGCGCGAAAGCCAGGGGAGCAAACGGG